GCAAGUCGAGCGAUUCACUUCGGUGCGGAGAGGCGGACGGGUUAGUAACGCGUGGGAACGUACCCUUCUCUAAGGAAUAGCCACUGGAAACGGUGAGUAAUACCUUAUACGCCCUUCGGGGGAAAGAUUUAUCGGAGAAGGAUCGGCCCGCGUUAGAUUAGAUAGUUGGUGGGGUAAUGGCCUACCAAGUCUACGAUCUAUAGCUGGUUUUAGAGGAUGAUC
RNAcentral lists this ribosomal RNA (222 nucleotides) under uncultured bacterium. Its description in RNAcentral is "partial 16S ribosomal RNA". It matches the Rfam family "Bacterial small subunit ribosomal RNA", at positions 57 to 305 of the family's 1533-position model. The record is from RNAcentral.